UAUCUCUGUAGAGUCUGCAUAUCAAUAAGCGGAGGAAAAGAAACUAACAAGGAUUCCCCUAGUAACGGCGAGUGAAGCGGGAAGAGCUCAAAUUUGAAAUCUUCAAGGUUUGACCUUGACGAAUUGUAGUUUAAAGAAGUGUUUUCGGUUAGAGGAGUAGUAAAAGUUCUUUGGAAUAGGACAUCAUAGAGGGUGAGAAUCCCGUAUUUGACUAUUCUUUCUAGCUUUGUGAUACACUUUCAAAGAGUCGGAUUGUUUGGGAAUGCAGUCCAAAAUGGGUGGUAAAUUUCAUCUAAAGCUAAAUAUUGGCGAGAGACCGAUAGCGAACAAGUACCGUGAGGGAAAGAUGAAAAGAACUUUGAAAAGAGAGUUAAACAGUACGUGAAAUUGUCAAAAGGGAGGCGUUUGACACCAGUGUUGUUUUUCCGAAAAUCAAUUACGAAUGGCUUGAUUUUGUGUUGUAUUGACCUUAUCAGCUUUCUUCACUUUUUUCGAGUCUUUCUUAAUGCACUUUUUGGUUAACAAGUCAACAUCAAUUUCUUUUGUUGUAAAAGAGUAUUCGGAAGGUGGCUUUCUUUUCGGAGAAAGUGUUUAUAGCCCUAUACUUCUACAAUCGGAGAGAUUGAGGUCUGCAGCGUAGAUCCUUCGGGGUUAGAUACACUUGUGCUAAGUUGUAGCUUUUCAUAGACAACUUGUCGACUAUGUUUAGUCAUGUCGCUUACUCGCUUAUGCUAUUUUACCUACGCUUAGGAUGUUGAACUACUGAGACAUAGA
Molecule: ribosomal RNA, 774 nt
Filed under: uncultured Neocallimastigales
Lineage: Eukaryota; Fungi; Neocallimastigomycota; Neocallimastigomycetes; Neocallimastigales
Description: partial large subunit ribosomal RNA
Rfam family: Eukaryotic large subunit ribosomal RNA
Source: RNAcentral